UUAAAUUGAAGAGUUUGAUCAUGGCUCAGAUUGAACGCUGGCGGCAGGCCUAACACAUGCAAGUCGAGCGGCAGCGGGAAAGUAGCUUGCUACUUUUGCCGGCGAG
Molecule: ribosomal RNA, 106 nt
Filed under: Aeromonas hydrophila
Lineage: Bacteria; Pseudomonadati; Pseudomonadota; Gammaproteobacteria; Aeromonadales; Aeromonadaceae
Also listed under: 1 other name
Description: partial 16S ribosomal RNA
Rfam family: Bacterial small subunit ribosomal RNA
Source: RNAcentral